CACAUGUGCUCCGUGUGUCCAGUUACCCUCUCGGUAAUCAGUCCCGGAAAACUUUUCUUCGACUCCCUGCCUGUGAGGGCCUCUGUCCUGGUGAGGGGGCGGGGGUCCUUAGGUCCUUAGUCCCUCCCCCCUGCGCUGCAGAAAGAAGCCCAGGGAUAAAAAAAUAGGGGAGAGAGGAGCGUAUUUUUUUUGGCCUACCCUUUCCCUCCUAGGGCUGUUUUAUGUAGCCUUGUUUUUCUAUUCUGGCCCAAUGGCCAGGAAAAUUCUUUUUCUCCCUGAAGAAAUUCUGAAAGACAGCAGGGAGCUCGGUUCUGUUUCAAAAGCUGGUGGGAAAUAUCUCCUGAGGGCCCGUUAUGUGCCAGGCACGGACUGGACACUGGGGCUGCAGCGAUGGACACAGGCCCAGGUCCCUCCCUCGUGGUGGUGGCUUUGAGUGGGUGGGACGAGGGUCAGAGAGAGAAGCUGUGUUGCUCCAGGCUUGCUCUCUGAAGGUAAGUCCUCUUCCUCUGCAUCCUUGGUACGUGUGCCCAGCUGCCAGCUCCUCCAAGGGGUGCGAGCAUCUGGGAAAACGGUCAUUUCCAGAAGCUUUCCUGACCUGGCUCCUUCACCCCUCUGAUGUCUCAUGCCCUGCAGACCCUGCCCUUUGCCUACCCAGGUGGAGGCUGUCCCCGAACAGCUGUCCAUGCCACAGCUCCGGGAGCUAGAGAAACCUCCAAGCUCUGUCCCAGGGUGUCCCUGUGACCCCCUGGAGAGGUCCCGGCGGCACCGGAUCUGCCUUCAUCUCCCUCUGGCUUGUGCUGCUUUGCAGCCCUGCCUUGCUUCUGCGGCUGGUGGUCCCUGGAUGGUGGUGCUCUCUCUCCACACCCUCGGCAUCCCUUCUCCUCCCAACUCAGCCCGUUCCGGGCUCUUCCAGGGCUCAGGCUGAAUUUUUGUCCUUCUCUGGAGGCACAGCUACAAGGGAAAGUUCCUUCAUGACAGGAGAAUCCGGCUGCCGUUCGGAAGGAAAGGGAAAGCAGAAAAUGGGGAGUGGAGUGAAGCAGCCAUGAAAAAGAAUGAAAUAAUGCCAUUUGCAGCAACAUGGAUGGACCUAGAGAUGAUCAUACUGAGUGAAAUAAGUCAGACAGAGAAAGACAAAUAUCUGGGGAAUCUAAAAAAAAAAUAAUACAGGGCUUCCCUGGUGGCGCAGUGGUUGGGAAUCUGCCUGCCAAUGCAGGGGACACAGGUUCGAGCCCUGGUCUGGGAAGAUCCCACAUGCCGUGGAGCAGCUGGGCCCGUGAGCCACAACUACUGAGCCUGCGCGUCUGGAGCCUGUGCUCCGCAACAACAGAGGCCACAAUAGUGAGAGGCCCGUGCACCGCGAUGAAGAGUGGCCCCCGCUCCCCACAACUAGAGAAAGCCCUCGCACAGAAACAAAGACCCAACACAGCCA
This is a long non-coding RNA of Balaenoptera acutorostrata (minke whale), 1429 nucleotides long. RefSeq lists it as uncharacterized. The record is from RefSeq and is a predicted model, not a curated record. The transcript is spliced from 4 exons. NCBI's taxonomy places the organism in Eukaryota, Metazoa, Chordata, Mammalia, Artiodactyla, Balaenopteridae.